GAUGAACGCUGGCGGCGUGCCUAAUACAUGCAAGUCGAGCGAACGGACGAGAAGCUUGCUUCUCUGAUGUUAGCGGCGGACGGGUGAGUAACACGAGGAUAACCUACCUAUAAGACUGGGAUAACUUCGGGAAACCGGAGCUAAUACCGGAUAAUAUUUUGAACCGCAUGGUUCAAUAGUGAAAGACGGUCUUGCUGUCACUUAUAGAUGGAUCCGCGCUGCAUUAGCUAGUUGGUAAGGUAACGGCUUACCAAGGCAACGAUGCAUAGCCGACCUGAGAGGGUGAUCGGCCACACUGGAACUGAGACACGGUCCAGACUCCUACGGGAGGCAGCAGUAGGGAAUCUUCCGCAAUGGGCGAAAGCCUGACGGAGCAACGCCGCGUGAGUGAUGAAGGUCUUCGGAUCGUAAAACUCUGUUAUUAGGGAAGAACAUAUGUGUAAGUAACUGUGCACAUCUUGACGGUACCUAAUCAGAAAGCCACGGCUAACUACGUG
This 497-nucleotide ribosomal RNA is filed under the name uncultured bacterium. Its description in RNAcentral is "partial 16S ribosomal RNA". It matches the Rfam family "Bacterial small subunit ribosomal RNA", at positions 28 to 507 of the family's 1533-position model. The record is from RNAcentral.